CCUACGGGAGGCAGCAGUAGGGAAUCUUCCACAAUGGGCGAAAGCCUGAUGGAGCAACGCCGGGUGGGUGAAGAAGGUCUUCGGAUCGUAAAACCCUGUUGUUAGAGAAGAAAGUGCGUGAGAGUAACUGUUCACGUUUCGACGGUAUCUAACCAGAAAGCCACGGCUAACUACGUGCCAGCAGCCGCGGUAAUACGUAGGUGGCAAGCGUUAUCCGGAUUUGUUGGGCGUAAAGGGAACGCAGGCGGUCUUUUAAGUCUGAUGUGAAAGCCUUCGGCUUAACCGGAGUAGUGCAUUGGAAACUGGGAGACUUGAGUGCAGAAGAGGAGAGUGGAACUCCAUGUGUAGCGGUGAAAUGCGUAGAUAUAUGGAAGAACACCAGUGGCGAAAGCGGCUCUCUGGUCUGUAACUGACGCUGAGGUUCGAAAGCGUGGGUAGCAAACAGGAUUAGAUACCCUUGUAGUC
RNAcentral lists this ribosomal RNA (465 nucleotides) under uncultured bacterium. Its description in RNAcentral is "partial 16S ribosomal RNA". It matches the Rfam family "Bacterial small subunit ribosomal RNA", at positions 338 to 795 of the family's 1533-position model. The record is from RNAcentral.